Molecule: long non-coding RNA, 630 nt
Filed under: Vitis vinifera (wine grape)
Lineage: Eukaryota; Viridiplantae; Streptophyta; Magnoliopsida; Vitales; Vitaceae
Description: long non-coding RNA (VVIN_LNC007409)
Source: RNAcentral
UUGACUAAUUCCCAAGAGAUUGUGUUUUAAACUAUCAACUAGUAACACAUUUUCAAUAAGAAAGGAUGUGUUAUUACCAAUAUUUCCUUGCCCAAUGAUCCUCCCUUUGGCAUUAUCUCCAAAAGUCAUAUAUCCUUAUUUCUUCCUUGUGAAGAAUGCAAACUGGGAUUCAUCUCUAGUUAUGUGUCUUGAGAAUCCACUAUCCAAAAUCACUUGUCCUUCCUUAAGCCCUACUAUACAACUCAACUAGAUUUAGGUACCCAUAUCUUUUUGGGUCCUUAAGGGUUAGUAACCUUAAACUUUUCAACCCAAAUCUUCUUGGUUUUUGAAUGUGAAAUCUUUUAAGAACCAUUUCUAAGUGGACAAAGUAUAACUAAUGUUUCAUCUUCUUCCACAAAAGUUGCAAGUGGUGGAAGAGUUUUCAUUUAUGGAUUCUUUUACAAAAUAAUUUUGGAAAUAUUUUUUGUUCUUUAAAGAUUUAAACCCUAGGCCUUUCUUGUCAAAUAUGCAUUUUUUGCUAGCUAGUAUCUGAUUACUACUCAAAAAAUGCUAUUUUAUAGCUUGUAAUUAACUCUUUUAAACACUUUUCAGUAGUAGUUAUUACCUUUUAACUCAAUUGGCAUGCUAAGG